This 280-nucleotide unclassified non-coding RNA is filed under the name Basidiomycota sp. RNAcentral's name for it is "partial contains small subunit ribosomal RNA, internal transcribed spacer 1, and 5.8S ribosomal RNA". The stretch from base 1 to 47 matches the Rfam family "Eukaryotic small subunit ribosomal RNA", at positions 1785 to 1831 of the family's 1831-position model. Lineage: Eukaryota; Fungi; Basidiomycota. The record is from RNAcentral.
AAAGUCGUAACAAGGUUUCCGUAGGUGAACCUGCGGAAGGAUCAUUAAUGAAUUAAAUCGAAAGGGAGUUGUCGCUGGUCUCUCGAGGCAUCGUGCACGCUCUUCUUUCCUUCAUUCAUCUACCCCAUAUGUGCACUUACCGUAGGCCGAGAAAUUCAGCCUAUGUAUUUUAUUACACCCCAUAAAAGUUUAAUGAAUGUUUCAAAUAAGAUCGAGGACGCGAGUCUUUCGAUUUUAAUAAUAAAUUAUACAACUUUCAACAACGGAUCUCUUGGCUCUC